Molecule: non-coding RNA, 105 nt
Organism: Acanthosepion pharaonis
Lineage: Eukaryota; Metazoa; Mollusca; Cephalopoda; Sepiida; Sepiidae
Source: the annotation of a GenBank genome assembly
AUAUCACUUUGAAACAUCGGUUCUCGUACGAUCACCAAAGUUAAGCAACGCCGAGCCUGAAGAGUACAUAGGUAGGUGAACGCUUGGGAAUAUCAGGUACUGUAA